RNAcentral lists this unclassified non-coding RNA (374 nucleotides) under uncultured bacterium. Its description in RNAcentral is "contains 16S-23S intergenic spacer region". The record is from RNAcentral.
UCCGGUUUGUCACCGGCAGUCACCUUAGAGUGCCCAACUGAAUGCUGGCAACUAACGACAGGGGUUGCGCUCGUUGCGGGACUUAACCCAACAUCUCACGACACGAGCUGACGACAACCAUGCACCACCUGUACACCGACCUUACGGGGCAACCAUUUCUGGAAGUUUCCGGUGUAUGUCAAGCCUUGGUAAGGUUCUUCGCGUUGCAUCGAAUUAAUCAGCAUGCUCCGCCGCUUGUGCGGGCCCCCGUCAAUUCCUUUGAGUUUCAGCCUUGCGGCCGUACUCCCCAGGCGGGACACUUACUGCGUUAGCGACGGCACCGAGGGGGUCGCUCCCCCCGACGCCUAGUGUCCAUCGUUUACGGCGUGGACUAC